This 435-nucleotide ribosomal RNA is filed under the name uncultured organism. RNAcentral's name for it is "bacterial SSU rRNA". It matches the Rfam family "Bacterial small subunit ribosomal RNA", at positions 29 to 507 of the family's 1533-position model. The record is from RNAcentral.
AACGAACGCUGGCGGCAGGCUUAACACAUGCAAGUCGAGCGCGCCCUUCGGGGUGAGCGGCGGACGGGUGAGUAACGCGUGGGAACGUGCCCCUUUCUUCGGAAUAGCCUCGGGAAACUGGGAGUAAUGCCGAAUACGCCCCGCAAGGGGGAAAGAUUUAUCGGAGAGGGAUCGGCCCGCGUUGGAUUAGGUAGUUGGUGGGGUAAUGGCCUACCAAGCCGACGAUCCAUAGCUGGUUUGAGAGGAUGACCAGCCACACUGGGACUGAGACACGGCCCAGACUCCUACGGGAGGCAGCAGUGGGGAAUCUUGGACAAUGGGGGCAACCCUGAUCCAGCCAUGCCGCGUGAUCGAUGAAGGCCUUAGGGUUGUAAAGAUCUUUCAGCUGGGAAGAUAAUGACGGUACCAGCAGAAGAAGCCCCGGCUAACUCCGUG